GCACCAAGGGUAUCUCUUAUAGAGAAGUUAAGACGGUGGUUACUUAAUCGAAAGGUGGUGGUACCUAUGUGCAUAGCAGGUAAAAUCCUAUUAGAAAGGAGUAACCUGAUUUGUCAACAUUUGAGGUUUUAACACUCUUGUUUGUAGCUGGUAACUUUGUUAUUGCUCUCGUGAAGUUAAU
This 181-nucleotide small RNA is filed under the name Streptococcus henryi. RNAcentral's name for it is "Listeria sRNA rli28". The stretch from base 20 to 181 matches the Rfam family "Listeria sRNA rli28", at positions 25 to 186 of the family's 186-position model. The record is from Rfam by way of RNAcentral. Lineage: Bacteria; Bacillati; Bacillota; Bacilli; Lactobacillales; Streptococcaceae.